This 30694-nucleotide long non-coding RNA is filed under the name Malus domestica (apple). RNAcentral's name for it is "long non-coding RNA (MDOM_LNC007270)". Lineage: Eukaryota; Viridiplantae; Streptophyta; Magnoliopsida; Rosales; Rosaceae. The record is from RNAcentral.
GAGAUUUGGGGUCAUGGAUCUCAUGAUAACAAACAGAGCAACACUAUAGUUGCCAAUCAAACCCUAAGAACUGAAAUUGCUUCAUGGAUCUCAUGAUAAUAAUUAGAACCUUAAUUCAAACCCCAAAACUGAAAUUUAGAGAAUUAAUUCAAACCCCAAAACUGAAAAUUAGAACAUUAAUUCAAACACCAAAACUGAAAUUGCUUCAACGAUGGAAGAGAGAGAGAGAGAGAGAGAGAGAGAGAGGGAGAGGGAGAGGGAGAGGGAGAGAGAGAGUUAUGUUUACCUAAUCAAUGAGAUCGAGCUCGUUCGUUGGUUGGCAAAUAAACCCUGCUUCAGAAAACCCCAAAAAAAUCGGUUCAUCAUCCAUGUUAGCUGCUAGAACCAAACCCUGAAUUAAAAUUAAACUACAAAAAUAGAAGCAAACUGGAGAGAGCAGCCAAACACUAACCUUAAAAUUAAAUUAAUUAAUUACAGCAAAUCGAGUACCUGCUACCUGGAAGGCGACGGCGGUGUGGCGCUGAGAACGACGGAGAGAGAGGAAAAUGAGGAGUUGUGCAGCGGCAGGAGGGAAGAGGGGCGUGCGGAGUGUUUUGCGAGAGAGAAGAGGGCGUGCGAAGUGUUUUGAGGAAUCAGGAGAAAGGAGAAAGGAGAAAGGAGGGGGCAGUAUUGGCAAUUUGGAAAAAUUCAUUAACAAAGUACUGUAGCUCCGUGUUUUGUUUAAUAAGCCGCUUCUUGAAGCUGCUUUUUGCAGCUUCCACUUUUUGGCUUUUUUUCAUCUGAAACUUUGAAAUAAAGCUGUUUUGGGAUGUUUACCAAACACCAAAAACUCUCCCAGCUUUUUUUCAUACCAGCUUUAUUAAAAAUCACCUCAACCCCGAACUGGGGCUAAAUCUAUGGAAAAUGGUGCAGUUGCUAGUUCCAUGUCAGCAAUCUCAAAACCGUAUCUUGCAAAUGGAGCAUGUAAAGACAGACCCGUCAGUUCUCCAAGCAAUGACACUUCAUUUCCAUCUCUGCACUUGCCAGUGGUAGUUGUACACUAUUUGAUUUGUUUAUUUUGUGACAGCAUAUGGUUUUGCCUUAUGAUAUUUCGAAAAUUUUCCAGAGUCAAUUGUGCUUUACUUUCUUGGUGAAUGACAACCUAUUAUUUAGCUCUAACACUUGACCAUUUGUGGCAUCCAGGUGACCGGUCAAGAGACGAGCCUUGUGGCUAGAUGUCGAAGACUCUAUGCCAAUGCUCAUGACUAUCAUAUUAAUUCGAUUUCAAAUAACAGGUACAUCUUUUUUUUUUCAAUGGAAUAUGCCUUCACCUUUUCAUCUAUUUUUAAUCUUGUUGUGUAUGUUCAGUGUUUGCCUUGAUGCUUGUGCUCCUAUUUGAAAAUUCUAUUAUUUAAUUACCUUAUCAUGGAGGAGCCAAUUGUGUAGUUGUCGGACUUCCCCCACCCCCAAAAGAAAAAAAAAAACCAGUUUCUGUAGCACACGGUGACACUAAAGAACAAUUUAUGUCACUAGAUGAAAAAGAUUUAUCUUCGAUGUCGAGUCUUGCUAAUAUGCAUUAUGCAGUAUAUUCUUUGGUAUUAUUGCAUGGAUAUAAUCUAACAAGGUCUCCAUCUUCUGGUCACUAAUAAUGUAGCUAUCUUUUGGUUUUGCAGCGGUGGUGAAACUUUUUUAUCAGCUGAUGACCUUCGAAUUAAUCUUUGGAACCUAGAGAUUAGCAAUCAAAGUUUUAAUAUUGUUGACAUGAAGCCGGUAAACAUGGAGGAUCUAACUGGUAGAACCCACAACACUAUGAUGACAAUUGCUUACUUUCCUAGCUUUUAACUAUCAUUUGAAGAGAAAUGGCAGUAGACAUAACCUUGACCCAAUUAUUUGGGCCUGCUACAAGGCUCCUGGUCUUCCAUUCGGUCAUAUUCUGGAUAAUGUUUCAUUAAAUGGCAUGCUAUUAUGUCUUUCUUAGAUUUCAUCUGUUUCUAUUUACUUUGAUCUCCCUUUUCAUUAGGUUUGGAUGGCUGAAAUGUUCUGGCCAUGUAGUAAACUUGAAUUAUGCCUUAUUUAUAUGCUUUGUUUGUCAAACAGCUCCACAUGUGUAAUUAUUUAUCUUUACAUACUUGAAAUUUAUGUGCAGAGGUGAUAACAUCCGCUGAAUUUCACCCUACUCAUUGUAACAUGUUGGCAUACAGUAGCUCAAAAGGCUCAAUUCGUCUUAUAGAUCUGCGGCAGUCAGCUUUAUGUGACACUCAUAGCAAAUUGUGAGUCAUCUUUCAUUCUUCCUUCCUUCCAUUCUUGGACUCAUCAAAGAUGAUUUAGUAUUAUAAUAAAAUAAAUGUAUGAGAAAUCUUUUGACAUUUUUUGCCGUCUUUAAUUUCUUGGUUUGCUUUGAAUCGUAAUUAUGAUUUGUAAUGGUGCAGGUUUGAAGAACAAGAAGCGCCCGGCUCAAGAUCUUUUUUCACUGAAAUAAUAGCAGCAAUUUCAGAUAUUAAGUUUGCUAAGAACGGAAGACAUAUACUAAGUCGGGAUUACAUGACUCUUAAGGUUCAUAUAUUCAUACUCUUAUAAUAAGAUGGUUCAUACUUCCAAUAUUUAGAAACUUCAGUAUCAUUUGUCCUAGAAACAAAGUUGCAAGUAACAAACACUUGAAAACCUUAUUUUCCCUCCCUCCCUCCCUUCCUUCCAGUGGAUUGGUGACACGGGCAAUGCCCUCUAUGGGUGCCACCCCUCAACAUCUCACUGUUUCUGCCGUCCCUCCUUCCCUUCCUUUCAGUGGAUUGGUGACAUGAGUGAUGCCCUCUAUGGGUGCCACCCCUCAAUAUCUCACUGUUUCUGUUGAUUCCUCAGCUAAAAUAUUCCUUCCUUCCAUUGGAUUGGUGACAUGGCCAAUGUCCUCUAUGGGUGCCCUCAAUAUCUCACUGUUUGUGCCAUCCCUCUUUCCCUGCCUUCCUUACAGUGGAUUGGUGACGUGGGCAAUGCCCUCUAUGGGUGCAGCCCCCAAUAUCUCACUGUUUCUGUUGCUUCCUCAGCUAAAAUAUGCUAAUGUUGUUACUGUGAUGUUUAGAGUUAGUACUUGAUAUCAUGAUUUUCAAUUUUGUGCUUGUGGUGAGUUUGGGCAUUGCAACUACUUCUUGUCUUCAGAUUUCUCUGAUUCUUAACCCUGUCCGUUACAAUUUUUGUUCUCACCUUUUCUUUUUGGGGUUUCUCAGUUAUGGGACAUCAACAUGGAUUCUGGCCCAGUUGCCACUUUUCAGAUUCAUGAACAUCUAAGACCAAAGGUAAUAUGUUCCUUCAAAAAGUUUGUUUGAUCACAUGUGAUCUUAAAAGAAGACGAGACCAUUUAAGUAAUACCAUACAAUGCAACUUAUUAAGUUCUUUACCUUUCUCAGCUCUGUGAUUUAUACGAAAAUGAUUCUAUCUUCGAUAAGUUUGAGUGCUGUCUAAGUGGAGAUGGACACCGAGUGGCAACAGGUUCUUACAGGUUAGACUUACACCAUACACAUCCUUUGUUGCUUUUACACUUACACCCUGACCUAAGCAGUGUGGGGCUCAACGUAUGAAGAAACACAUUUCUGUGAUUCCAGCAAUCUGUUUCGAGUGUUUGGUUGUUCUGAAGGGAGCACAGAAGCAACAACAUUGGAGGCCAGCAAAAACCCCCUGAGGUAUCUUUUUUAAAUUCUAUAUAUGCUCGUCAGGCAUGCUAUUGUUAGGGCAUAGUAUCAUUUUGGUCCAAGAAAAACUCUUGUUUAUUUUCUUUUGUUCUCUUGGUCAAAUGUGCUUAUAAUUUUUCUCAUGAACUUCCAGGAGACAAGUUCAAUCUUCGGGCAACCUUCGUCGUGUUAUCAGGCGAGGUAUGUUCUUCCAUCAUAACAUAAAAGGUGCGGAUAACUCUGGAGCUGAUGCAAACGGAAAUCCUUUUGACUUCACAACAAAGUUGCUACAUCUUGCAUGGCACCCUUCUGAGGAUUUAAUCGCCUGUGCUGCUUCAAGCAGCCUAUACAUGUAUUAUGCGUAAAAGUAGUACGGAAAGUUGCUUGUCUUGGCCGGCAAAGCUCUUCUGAUUUCUAUUGACAAAACGUUGCUUGCCUUCUUCUCCGGCUAGUGAUGUUAAGAUUUGUCGGCUUAAUUCGUCUGGUUAUCGGGUGUUUAUUGUUUUAGGUAAAUGUUUUUGGUGUAGGCAAACUGAUCAUCUCUAUAUUGUACGAGGUUCGGUCAUAAUUUCGAAGCAUAUGGACUAGUUUUGGUGAAUUAGGUGCUUCCUUCAUUUAGUUUGUGCUGACAUUAGUAUAUAGCCCUUGGGGGCUAGGAAUUUGUAACAAACUUUUCUCUUGUUCCUAAACCACUAUUUUAUCAAGUAUAUGGUGAACUUUCCUCUUUUUGUUCAUGUCUUCCAAACCCUUGUGAAUUGGUUUGGAAAAUUGGGUUUGGUGGCGCUUUUACAAACCCACCAACCAAAAAUAGUCGUCUCGAAAUGCCCUCUUUGAUGAAAAUACCCUCGUUACCGAUGCAAUAUUGGUAGAUUAUUGACUCAAUCUUAAGGUAUUUUCGUCAGAGGGCAAGUAGAGAUUGCAUUCUACAAGGGGGGCUAAUUUUGGUUGGUGUAUUUGGAAAAGGCUUGUAAGCCCAAUUUCUCAUUAUUUUUUAUCUACUGUGCAUAAUUUUCACAAAAUUACUGUGGUGAAGUCUUUCCUAUGUGGUAUGGUAAUUUUUGUUGUAUCACGUGAGUAGCUCACUGUGAGAAUUCGUCUCGUGCUACUUGUAUUACAUGAGUAGCACGAUUUGUGAGAGAUUUGUUUCGUGUAAUAGAUUCUACUUAUUGUAUUACGUGAGUAGCACGAUCUGUGAGAGAUUUGUAUCAUUGAGCAUGCUUGCUUAAAGAAAAAUUCAAGGGCCAAUUACAUUUAGACACGAGUUGUUUAUGCCCACGUGUGGAGAAAAACUUGUGUGGGGUUUGACUUACUACUGGACUUUGCAUAGUGGCACUACAAUCCACUAAAAAAUCGCCACGUGACAAGUCUUAAAUAUAAUUUUUUUUCCCAUUCUUUUAUAUUUAGGAUUCUCAUAAUUAUAUUUCUCACUAAUUAAUAUACAUCAAUCUAAUGGAUAUAUUUUUUUUGUUUUCUUUCUUUUUUAAAAAAAAUGGGAUAACUGGUGGCAGACCAUGGUUAUCCACUCCAAAUAUUCCCUCCAAUUUAUGUUGCAGGACUCUUUCACUUUCUUCUCUCUCCCACUUCUUUGUCUCUCCGACUAUUUUCUCUCGCUGUUUUUCAUAAAAAAAUUUGUACCCUAAACAAAAUCACUUUCUCCAACUUUUGUCAUGGGAAGCAAUCAAGAAUCUUUAAGUUUUUUCGUUAUUGAUACAAUACUUGAUUUGAUCAAGUGAACUUGACAUGAAUAACCUUUACAUAUAGGCGUAUUAGGGUUAGCCUAAUUUUUUAUUUGUUUUCGUUAACAUGUUUAUCUAAUAUUAGGGCUCAAAUGUUAAUCAAUGUUAUGGUUAAUAUGUUGAUACGAAUUACCCACAUAUUUAUACAAUAAUUUUUUCCGUUCUUUACUAUGAGUAUUUUAUUAAUGUGGUAGUCUUUUUUUAUUUUAUUUUAUUUUCACUUGGUAGGUUGCUGCUAAGACAAUGGAGUUUUAAGAAGAUGUAAAAAUUAAAAUGGUGGUGAAUCCUGACGCUGAAGCCUUUCAAGUACGCAAUGCUUAUGCUAUGAGGAAAGGGUUCAGUCUUCGUAAAGAGCAUAUUCGAAGAGAUAAAACAAAUACUAUUACACAAUGAUAUUGUUUGGGAAGUUAAAGAUGGCAGGCAUGCAGAGGGAGGGAGGGGGGGGGGAUGAACAAAAUAUAAGCCAUUAAAUUGAUGCAUAUUAAUUAGUGAAAAAAAAUAAUUACGUGAAUUUUAAAUAUAAAAGAAUGGGAAAAAAAAUUAUAUUUAAGACUUGCCACGUGAUAAUUUUUUAGUGGAUUGUAGUGUCACUCAGCAAAAUCCAGUAACAUGCCAAACCCCACACAAAAUUUUCUCCCACGAGUGACCGGGUUGAAAUGUGCGUUUACAUUUGUGCUUCAUUAGAUUAUUAUUAUUUUUUUAAUUGUCAUGAUAAGUCACGAUGAGCUUGGACAAAUGAUCUUAUUUAGUAAUUUUUUAAAAUGAUUUAGAAGUACGAUAUAUGGGAAUAUAAUCAUUAAUUAUUUGCAUAUAAAGCCGAUUAUGAUACUCAAUUCAAUAGUUUUAAUGAAAUUGUGAAAUAACUUAUAUAGAACGAGUUUAUUCUUACGUAACAUUCUAAUUUAAUAAUGCAGUCAUUUAGAAUUACAGUCUAGUGGUAUUUUUAUUUAUUAGUAAGUGAGAGGUGAGAGAUGAGAGAUUUUAGGUUUGAAUCUUGUCAAAUACGAAUUUGAACCACAUUAUUGCUUGUCUUUGUGAGAUUUAACCCAUUCGCUCACCCUUAGAGUACAUAAUAUUGUUUAUUCAAAAGAAAAAGGAAUAAUGCAAUGACGUGUAGAGAUAAAAUUACACGCAACAGUAUAUCAUUAGAUCGAGAUGUUAAAAUGUGGCAUAGUUCGUUGUUCACAUUGUAAACACGGAAAUUUCUGAAACAAACGAGACAAGAACACGUGUACAAAAUAAUAUUUUGUAUUAAUGAUUUUGGGGUUACAAUCUCUCUCAAAUUUGAUCAUCUGAUUCGAUCUCCGUAAGAUGUUGAUUUGUGGAUGUGUGAUUGAUCCAAGGGUCAUCGAGGCUUGAUCUUGGAUGAAUGUUUGAAAGUUUCUUCAAGGGCCAUUGGGGUUUGAUCUUGAAGGUCGAGGGAACGGAUCUUCAAGGAGCUUUUGGGCUUGAUCUUGAAGAACAGUUGUGCGGGUUUCUUCAAGGGCUUUUGGGCUUGAUCUUGUGAAAAAUGGGUUAGAGGAUUUGUUAAUGUUGUUGAUCCAAAGGGCCGUUGGGGCUUGAUCUUAGGAUGAAUGGAUGAUGAACGAUGAACACUUUAUUCAAGGGCCGUCGGGACUUGAUCUUGAAUUGGUGAAAGUUCUUCAAGGGCCAUCGGGGCUUGAUCUUGAUGGAGGAUUUGAUGAAGAAUGAAGAGAGCUUUUUUGAUCCUUCGGGAUUUGCUUGGGCGCUUUAGAGUUUUAAAGCUUCAAGGUUUUGGUGUUAUGUGAAUUGGUUAUGAAUUGGUGUCCUAAAAUGAAUGAAAUGGCCUUGUAUUUAUACAAAUUUUCAAGGCCUAAUUUUGAAUAUAAUAUUCAGAUGAAAUAAAUCAUUUCUGCCAGGUGUUGACACGUGUCCUUAUUUGAUGACUUUUUCGAUUUAUUUUGAUUUUUUGUUUAGUCACACUCUACGUGUAAAAUUUAUGUGACAUGUGAGCGUUGAAAUUGUAAUUACUGGUCAACAUUUAUUUCACCAAAAUUUCGAUUUCUACACACAUAUCCCUGACUAGUCAAAUACUCACUCAGACAGUUAUACCACAUUCUUCUGGAUUGUUUCAAACCGUAGUGAAUGCCUUAGCCGAAUUGAGAGCUUGUUCUGGGGUUUGGAAAUAUUUGAAUCAGUCAAUGUAAGUCAUUUGGGAACUUUCAUAUAGAUUACUAUAUCAAGAUCCCCAUAAAGAUACGCGGUUACUACAUCCAUUAGCUGCAUAUCCAUUUUUUGGAAACUACCAAACUGAUAAGGUAACGAAAAGUAAUCACAUCUAUAAUGGGUGAAUAAGUUCCGUCAUAGUCAAUCCCGGGGUGUUGUGAGAAGCCUUGUGCAACAAGACGAGCUUUGUAACGCACAAUUUCGCUUUUCUCAUUACGUUUUCGAAUGAAAACCCACUUGUAGUCAACGGGCUUCAUAUGUGGAGGAGUAGGAGGUACAUGGCCAAACACCUUACGUUUCGUAAGCGAAUCGAGUUUAACUUGGAUUGCUUGUUUCCAGUUUGACAAAUCAGUUCUACGUUGACAUUCAUCAAUGGAACGCGGUUCAAUAUCAUCGCUCAACAUGAUCUCAGUAGUUACUACAAAUGUUAAUGCAUCGUCGACAAUCAUCUCAUUUCUACGCCACACAUCAUCUAAGCUAGCAUAAUAGACUGAAAUCUCACGAUUCUCAGGAGGAUGAUUUGUUUCUUCAAGGUCGCUUCCAUAAUCUAGAAUUUCCUCAUGAGUUGGGUAGAAUGAGUAAGCGAUAGUUGGAUUCACGAUAGGCUCUUCAGAACCUUAUACCGUGGAUUUCCUCUUCCGGAUGUGUGAAUCCUUUGAACCAAGGAGUCUGCCAUACUUUUGUGUAGGGGCAGAUGAUUGGCUAGCAACUAAUGUAUGUGGAUCACCAAGAUUGGCAUCCCGGGCCUCAAGGAGGGAAGUUCAUCGUACAUUUGGUACAUCCAUCUUUGCAGGCGUAUUCGCAGCUGGAAUAUGUGAUCUUGUCAUGCGCGCUAGAUAGGUGAAAGCAUAUGGCAUGCUUUGAGCUAUACUCCGAAGAUUUAAUAUGCGCUGCAUUUCAGUUUCAAACUGAGUAGUACGAGGAUCUAAAUGAGACAAAGUGGGGAUCGUUCACGAUAAUUCGCAUCAUUCUUUAGGAAUGUUGACGUUCUUAUCUCCUUCUAAUGACAAGAAAACUGUCUCAUAGAAGUGACAAUCCGUAAAACAAGCGGUAAACAAAUCACCUUUCAAAGGUUCUAAGUAACGAAUAAUCGAAGGAGAAUAAUAUCCAACAUAGAUUCCCAUCAUUUGUUGAGGCCCCAUUUUUGUACGUAAAGGUGGCGAGAUCGACAUAUAUAUCGCACAACUAAAAACGCGCAGAUGCGAUAUAUCGGGUUUGUAUCUGGUAACCAACUGAAGGGCACUAAAUGGUUGUGUUACAACAGGCCUCAGGCGGACCAACAUUGUUGUGUGCAAUCUUGCAUGGCCCCAAGCAAUGAUCGGGAGCUGGGUACGUAUGACCAACAAUAGAGCAAUCAUUUGUAAGUGCUUAAUGAAAGCCUCUGCCAGGUCGUUCUGGGUGUGAACAUGGGGUACAAGAUGUUCAACAUCAACCCUAACCUACAUGUAAUAGUCAUCAAAAGUUUUAAAUGUGAAAUUUUCAGCAUUAUCCAAUCGAAUAGAUUUGAUCGGAUAAUCAGGGUGGUAAGCCCCGAGCUUGAUAACCUGAGCCAACAGUUUGGAGAAUGCAGCAUUCCUUGUGGACAACAAGCACACGUGUGACCAACAUGUGGAAGCGUCAACUAAAACCAUAAAGUAUCUAAAUGGUCCGCAGGGAGGGUGAAUCGUUCCACAAAUGUCCCCUGAAUUCGUUGUAGAAAAAUGGGAGGAUUCGAACAAAUCUUGUCCUAAGAAGGCUUAGUAAUAAGUUUUCCCAUAGAACAUGUUUGACAUGCGAUUCCUUUGAUUGAACCUAAGCUUCGGGUUAGUGGAUGCCCGUGUGAUGAUUUGGGGAUACGGCGCAUCAUUAUUUGUCCAGGAUAUCCCAAAUGAUCAUGCCAAAGUGUAAUUUCGUGCGCGGUCCCAGUAGUAGGGCCUGCCAUAUAGUGGAAUUCUAUGGGACGUAUGGUCGUAGUAUACAGACCACUCGGGAUACGCUCCAUCUUCUCUAGAAUACGCUUCUGGCCAUAUUCGUAGGAAGUUAUGCACAGAAAUUCAACUCUGUUUUCUAUGUGGGUUUCAACGAGGUAAUUGUUAUCUCUAAUGUCCUUGAAAUUUAACGUUAUUCCGGAAUGUGGAGAAUAGAGUGCCUUAACAAUAGUCAAGAUUGUACCAUUGGACAACAUUAUAUGUGCCUUACCGUAUCUUUCAAUCAUGUUGGAUGAGCCUGAGAGGGUUGUCAGAGGUGCAUUCUUAGGUAUGAAAGUGAAAUAGAUGCGUUCACGCAAAACUGUGCGUGUGGUUGCACUAUCUGCCAGACAACUAAUUUCCCCACUAGUCAUACCUAGAAUGAAAAAUUAAUUUGAAUUGAUCACAUGCAUAAAAGUUCUAAAAAAACAAAUAUGAAUUCAAAAUAAUUUUAUUUAUUCAAGGAUGGUAAUUAAAAAAAAACUUAAUAUCCAAAAACAAAUCACCAACAAAUAAUCCAAACAUAAAGGAAAAUUGUUCAAAAAUCAACCAACAAACAAAUUAGGGGGUUCGGCCACUAGGUGGAAUUCGGUCCCAAUGUCUUAUUUCAACUAAAAAAUAAAUUUAUGUCUAAGAUUCUAAUCUUCCAUAGGGGUGGUAUCCUCUUGAAAGUUAGAAACCUCCAUCUUUGUAGUCUCCAGUUCGUCCACUUGCUUGAAGUUUGAUUCAAACUUCUUACAACGAGAAUGAUAUUCAUCUAUAACAUUCUUGGGAGCGAGGCAAACACGGGACCAAUGGUCCUUUGAACCACAGUGAUAACACAUAUUCGCAUCCAUGGUUUCAGGUGCUUUGCCCUUAUUCUUGAAGUUCGGGGCCUUGGGAGUGAAGUUUGAGCACUUCACUUUGUUUCUUCCCUUAGAUGGGCCUUGACUCUGUUGACCUUGGUGGGAUAACUUCUGGCCGCCCUUACCAAGCCUCUUUUGGAAUUUUGGGCAUUGGUUUGUACUUCAGGCACAUCAGUCGCCCUAGGUCUAGCUUGAUGAUUCUUCAUCAACAACUGAUUCUGCUUUUCAACGAGAAGUAAAACAGAAAUUAAAUCCGAGAACUUAGUGAAUUUCUGACCUCUAUAUUGUUGCUGCAGGACAACAUUAGAAGUAGAGAAGGUCGAAUAGGUCUUCUCCAGGGGAUCCUCUUCGGUCAAAGUUUCAUUGCAAAACUUGAGAAGUGAUUGGAUUCGACAAACUUCAGAAUUAUAUUCAUUCACGGACUUAAAGUCUUGGAAGCGCAAAUGCUGCCUAUAUUGUCUUACUUCAGGCAAAAAUAUGUCAUUUUGGUGAUCAAAGCGAUCAGCCAAAGCGACCUAUAGUGCAUGUGGAUCCUCCUCAGCAAGAUAUAUCUUCGAAUGAAGAUCAUAGCAGAGGCUUUUUCAACUUCGCCAAUUGGGUUGUUCGUAUUUUCUUCAAUAGCAGAACACAAGUUUUUGGCUGUGAGGUGGAGCUUCACAUCUUGGACCCACUUGAGUUAGUUCCUUCCAGAGACAUCCAAAGCAGUGAAGUCAAGUUUGUUUAAAUUCGACAUGUUCUUAGCACAAAAUAGAUGGACAAGAUGUGGUUAGUGUAAUGGAGAAAAAAAAAUCAAUCCAUUCACAUAGGAGUAGAAUAUACAUGUUCUAAUAGACAUGUAUUGCUUUAUUUUUGGAUGAAAAACUUCGGAGUUUCAUGGGUGAUGUUUUUAAAUGAAAACUUUAGGUUUUCAAACAAGGCAUGUUUAUAAGAAACUUCAGGUUUCAAAUAAUUAUGAACUUCAGGUUUAUAUAUGACACUCCCCGAUCCGGAAUGUCCACUAGGACCCCGAAUCGAGCUGUGCUGGCCGCCACCUGGAAGGUGACGAAGCCAUAAAUGUUGGAAAUAUGCCCUGAAAGUCAAUCUUUGGAAGAAAUCUUUCAGGACAAAUGAAUGGAUGUAUGGAUGAAUCUUAUACAUCAAAGGCAAAAACACGAAUUAGGACUAUCUCAAAGAACGAUAUAUGUCCUAAAUAGUGUAUCCAUGGACAAUAGUUUGACUAAAAGAAGUAAUCUAAUGAUGUUAGAUUACAGAGACCUUCUUCAUAUAACCAAAUGUCCAAAAGGUUCCUAGUCAUUGGAUUGUCGGAGGGAUACUAACAAUACGUAGACUGGUACAUACUGUGUCUGCUUCAAAUGGAAGGAUGGAAAGUCUCAUCCCAUUCGUGUUGUGACACUAAGACAAGUAUGUAGGUGCUCAUUAGGGGAAUGAGUUCACUGAACACAAUCGAACGAGAGUACUUGCAUGGAGGUCUACUCACAUGUCAAGCAAGUAACUCUAAUGGUUGGAAUAAUGUAAGUAGUCCUUAGACCUGAGGCAUCGUCGUUGUCUUGUGGCUAAGUACUUAAUCUUUGAUUAUGUCAAAGUCUCCCCAUUCGAGGGUGUCCACGGCAUGAUUGGGGUUAAGCCACUUAGUCAUGAAGGCAAGUGUAUGCGCAACAAGGAAUCUCUAAUCCUCGAUAAGAGAGGAAGAAUGCUCUAAGAUAUGAUUCGGGAAUCUUCGGCCGAAGUAUCGAGCGUAUUAAAAGGAAUGCGUUCCUAUACGACUCAAAUGAAUCAUAUAAGAAGGAAUAAUCACAUUAGGGGUUUGACAUAAUAUAUCCAUACCCUAAUGAUGUGAUUGAGAGUAUUGUAUUAGAGAAGGAUCGAAUUACAUUGUAAUUCUAACUGAAUAGGUUCUCUGAAUAAACUUCUACAUUAGCUUGGGUAGCUAUGACAUAUGGUUAGAUGUCAAUCAUAGCUUGUGAGUUCUUCUAGAUGAUUAAAUGUAGUCAUCAAAGAAGAAUGGUGAAUUGAAAUGAAGUUUCAAUUCACUAAGUGAUUGAAUUAAUUGGAUUAGUGCCAAUCACCUCACUGCCUUGCUAAUUAGAACCUAAAAGAUUGUUCACCAAUACACUAUUGUAGUGAGUAAUUAAUGGAUGAUGGAAACAAUUAAUUGGAUUAAUUAUGUGUUGUGAUUAAUUUAGAAAAGUCUAAAGAAAUCAUAAAAGCGAUAAAGAUCGUUUUGGGCUUAAAGAAACGUUCGGGUUUAAUUGGGCCCAUUGGGCCUAAACCCAUUGGGCUUUUAUUCAAGCAUUGGAUGACUUGAAAUAAAUGAAAGCCCAAAGCCCAAACAACACAAAGAGGGCCGGCCACAUUAGGUAUAGAGAGAGAGAGAGAGAGGUCAAAUGUUGACUUGUUUUCUUUUGGCUAUAAAAGGAACUUUAUAGCAAAUGUUUCAUUAGGGUUUUUUGUGUGUUUAGAACAACAAAUAGGCAAAAGAAUAUCUCUCAAAACCACAACAAAGGGCCGGCAACCUAGGGGAUGAAAUAGCUAACAAUCUUUCACCCUUUUGGUUAUUCCUUCAUCCUUCUCACUACACUAGUGGGUGAGGAUCUUUAGAGGUUUCCUACUUUGGAAACUUGAAGAGAACCUAGGAGCACUCAUUCUUUCAAAGUGGAGGAGGCAAGGAGGGAAGCUAGGCUCAAGGAUUUCAAGGAGCAAAGAGCUUGGAGGUGGUCCAUCCUUGGUCUAAAAUCAAGAUCAAGAGGUAUAGAUCUAUUCCUUGACUUUGUUCUUGAUUCAUUAAAAUGUUUUGAUGCAUUAUAUAUAAACCUAUGAACCUUGAAGGGGAUUUACAUGACUAUAGCUUUGAUUUUAUUUGAUAACAUGCUUCCGUUGCUCAUGUAUAUAUGUUUUUGAAUUGUAUAUGCAUGAUAGUCAUCUAGAAAUCCCACAAGAAACUCAUAGAUUUCCCUUCAAUAAAGUGGUGAUAAGGAAAAAUGCGAAUAAUUUUAAACCUAAAGGUGCCUAAUAACAGAGUGCACUGUGCGUGGGUAUGAACCCAAAUCACAUGUGAUGUCAGAGCAUAGUAAAGUACAGCAAUAUAGGUAGAAACCGUACCCACAAAAGUAGCCACCUUAACAGGGACAUGCCACGAAUCCUCGUCGAUAAAGAACUUUGCUACUAGAACCUGGAGGGGCGCAAAACAGAAAACGUGAGUGGGCAAAAAUAAAGCUUUUCAAAACAUCUCAUUUAUUCAACAUUUAUAACCCCUCUCUGAAAAACCUGUAUACUUUCUCAGAAAAUAAUAUAUAAUCGUAUAUAAACAUAUAUAUAUCAUCAAAAGCUCAAAUCACAAUCCUUCAACGCUUUUCAGAAAGAAUAUGUCAUGCCAUGCCAUAUGCCAAAAUAUAAUAUGAAUGCAUCAAUAUAAAUCAGGUGAAAUAACAAAUCAACCGGAGACCCUAUAGUGGUCCUGUACGGCUGAUUCUAUAGCUCAAUAUCCCAUCCAGCCGGAGUCACCAACUGUGACCUGUACGGCCCUGCCGGAGUCACCAACUGUGACAUGUACGGCACUACACUGCACAUAAGUCGGAACUACGUAUAGUAGUCUGUACGACUAAGAUGGUGAAAUAAUACGCUCUAGUGCUUCUCUCAUCAAUCAUCUGCGCGCAUAAUCUAAGGUCACCCACCAGUCGGAACCUCUCUAAUGGUCUGUACGACUGGCAUGUCGGAACCACCUCUAGUGGUCUGUACGACAUCCACCUACUUGGAUCCAAGGCGAGCGUGCGGUGUGGUGAAUAAUAUAAGCACUAUCACCUAGGGUGCAUGUUAUGAGCUUUCAAUGCCAUUCACAUAAAUAAAUCGUCUGAAUAAUAUAAAAACUCACCUGUGCGUCCACAGCACCAUUUCACAUAUAUGCAUCAUAUACCAAAUCAUAUAAUUCAUAUAAUUUCUAUGUAUGGCAUUUCAAAACUCAUUUCAUAACGCAUUUCAUUUAACUCGAUUUCUGGGAAAAUCAAUAGUAUAUAGAUAUAUAUAGAAAACAAAUGCCCACUCACCUGGGGUCCGCGCUACGACUUCCUAACAUCAAAACCAAGGCGUCCCGAACGCUCGGCUCCUAAAACAGUUAUCAAACCACGUCUCAGAACUCUUAUCCAUAUAAUAUGAAAUUCACAUAACACAUAGCCACAAGGGCAUUCAAGAAUAAUGCGAGACCCUUUGAUCAAAGGUCAACCGUCGACUAAGUUCGACGGUAGGGUCGUAACCCCACAUAACUCAAUCUGAAAGAUCCACAACUCAGAUUUCCGAUCCGUCACUCCCCAACAUACACAUUAAGCUUCUAGAACAAUAUACUAAAAUUUCGUUACGAUCCGACGGUUGGAUAUCCGCCAAUUUCCAAGACUAAGUGGCGGUUAACCUUUUCUUUUAUGAACUUACAAAUCCAAUUCGGGAAGAUCCAUCCAUCGAAUUCCCGAUCCGUAAGUUCCCAAAUUCUUCAAAUAUUAUGUACUACUACAUAUCAAAGUUUAAUGAAGAUCCGACGGUUGGAUCUUCGAUUCACCUUUUUGGCCUAACCAUGAAUCGUAUCGAAUUUAAGUCCAAAUGAUCAACCAACGACAAACCACUAUCAAAACUGAAUUUAGGAUAUCAAACAUAGCCUAAAAAUAACAUUGACGGUCCACUGGCCAUGCGCCGCUGUGGGUGGCGGUCGGCCGCCCCGGCUCGCCGGAAAAUUCAACUAUUUCCAAAAAUUACCAAAAUUUACAGAAAUGAAGAUAUCAAUGAGUAGAGAAACUUUCAUACCUGUGGCCAAGGCCAAUUCGGUCGGCAAGGUCUCUAAUUUCAACAAAACCCGUCGGAAACCCUAGGUUUUGGGUGUGCUCAAUCCGUCCUCAAAUCAACUUCGCCAUCCCAACCAUUGCUUGGGCUUUGUUCUAGGCCUCAAGAGGAUGCCAUGGGUGGUGGCAAUUGAAAGAAAUUGCUUCGGGAUUGGGUGAUUCGAAGCUAAGACCGCCGCACCCUUCCUCGCGGGUUCCUCCAUUUUCAAGACCAAAUCUCUCCAAAUUUGAGAUGGAAUGGAUAGAAGGAAGGUCGUGGAGAAGUUCCUAAGUAAUUUCUUGCAGCAAUUCGACGGAAAAUGGGUGAAAAUCGUUGAAAUUGCACACGAGUGCCGACCGGGUUGAACACGGGUUGCGGGUUCCCUCAACCCGUUUCUCCUCCGUUCCUCCGCUUCUCACCCUCUCUCAUUUCCUCCCUUCCCUGUUCCGAUUGAUCAAUCUCUCUCUCUCUCUCCUCCCAAUUCGGCCAGCUCCCUCCUUUCUCUCCCGUAGCUACUGCAUCUCUCCCUCUGGUUGGGCAGCUUGCCCAACCUCUUCUUCUUCCUCUUCUUUUUCCUUCUUUCCUUUCCAUCCGCACCAUCCAUUUCUUCUUCUUUAAAUCUAGGCCAUCCAAAUAGCACACCAGAUUUUAUAAAGGAAGAAUCCAUAUUUUCUGAAAUUAAUAAAUUGAUCAAAUUUCAAACUUUAAUAACUUCUUUGUUAUAGCUCCAAAUCACGAACCGCUUACGCCCACGCGUCCGUAGUGACGAGUACUACAAGAAUAUGCCAAAAAAUCAAGUCUUACGUGUCAUGACAAGCGAUUAACACAAAUCAAGACAUAUGCCUCAAAGGGCCUUUUCGAAAUUCCACGUAAUACAAUUAUAAAAAUCAUAAUUUUUUGGGACGGGCUGUCACAAUAUAUUCCUGCAGGCAAACACAAAUAUAUACACAAAAAUAUGCAACAAGAAUAUGCAAAAAGUAUGGCUUUUAGGUCAAUAAUUAUAAUUGAAUUCAAUUAUUUGGACUUCGGGCCAAAUUAAAGAAUGGGUGAAAAAAUAUAAAAACCAUUGGCCCUAAAAUAAUUAGGCGAAUAAAGCUCGGGGCCCAAAAGAAAAACUACGUCCACGGGUGGUUUAAGAAAAAUGGUGCCGUGCAUCCUAGGCCUUAGGGUGGGCUGGGUUUUGUCUCAAGUGGGGCUGCAGGCCCACAGGGAGAAGAAAAUGGGUCGGGCCGUUGAAAGUGAACCCUUAAAAAAUUGCACACGAUUUUUUUUUUCACGGGUUAGAGGAAACCAAUCGGGCCGAGAGAAGGGUUUGCAACGGGCUUUGGCUUACAAACCCAAAAUCAAGUUUUGGUUUUAGAUUGGUCCGUGAAGAACCAAAGCCCAAAGGGCUAUGUUGUUAGACCAAAAGAACAACCUAACGCGUGCUGGGUGUGCUUUGCCGGGGAAGAAUGUCAGAUUUAGUUGACGGCAUUUCCAAGUCGGGGCAAGCCAUGGUUCGUCGGAGAACCAAGUGUUUGUCAAUGGAGAUGAAAUCUCAACGUCGAGGGAGAGAGAACCGAAUGAAUUCAAUUGAAUUCGAGAAAAAAAAAGUAUGAAAUUCUUCUGGAAUUUCGAGAAAUCGUUAUGAAAAACGAUGGGUGUUGUCCAAUUUUCACGAUUGCCAGUCAUGUUUAAAAAACCGACAUGGGAGACCUGGGCUUCAAGUCGUGGGUCGGGACGGUGGUGCAUCAAGUGCACCCGACCGGUGUUCAAUAUUGGGCUGGGCUUGCAUGGUGUGGCCUAUCGCCAUGGAUGGGAUAGUGCAGGGCACGAGUUCAAAAGAACCCUAGGUUUCCCGAUUUGGAUUUUUUUUUUUCAAUUCAAUUCAUAUAUAAUUCAAUUUGAUGCAUAUGCAAUUCAAUAAUUUGAUGCAUGUAAAUAUAUUUGAUACAAUUCAUGGCAAAAUAUCAAAUUCACAUAAUUUAAUAAUUAUGAAUAUAAUGCAUACACAAUUUAUGUAGAAUCUAAAAUUCGAAAAACGUAAACUUGGGUCAUGCAUUAUGGUAAAUGUUUAUGCUAUCAGGGCUGCAAAAAUAUUGAGAUAAAAACCGUUGUUUUGAAAGAACCUGAUUGCGUGAUGAUAUGGAUGAAUUGGUUUGAUGCAGAAAAAUUCUUCAACGUCAGAUUCCUAAGCGUAGCGGUAGGAGCGUGCUGAUAACAUGUUGUGGCCUAUUUUAUUUGACAAGGUUAUGGUGGUCGGCGUCAUGGAGAAGAGAGAGUGUGAGAAAUAUGUUUGUAGAAUUGUAGGGGAAUGUGUGUUGUUAUCCCUCAUACAUUGUGCCUUUACUUAUAAUAGUAAAAGAGAGAAGAUAUUUCUUCUUCCCCAAGUAAUACAAGUUGUAAUAGGAAAUGAUAACUAGAAUCAAAUCUAAUCUAGGAUUUACACAAUCACACUUAAACUAGGAUUUACACAAUCACAAUUCAUGACAAAUAUCCACUUUUUAUUUCAUUACUAUAAAUUGGCAUUGUCUCUUGCUUUAAUAAAGUUCCAUAAUUUCCCAAACAAAUAUUCCUCCAAAACAUAACACAAAAAAGAUGAAAAAAUAAAUUAAUUAAAUAAUGAAGUGAAGCUUACUAUGUAAUGUAUUUUAAUGUUUUGAACCGUCUUAUAUUUUAAAACAUUAUUCAUAGAUCAUCUUUGUAAAAAAUAGACAAGACAAAACCAUUCAGACAUUUAUUUAUAUAUUAUUACGGUUGAAAUUGUUUAUUUUUUUUGGGCCGUUUAUUGACUUUCGUUUUUAGUUUUAAUUUUUAAUUUUUAAAAAAGUAAAAAAAAAAUGUCAAAUGGCCUAUUAAUAACUAUGUAACUACCAUCACUACACAAGGAAAAAAAAAAUUCAACUAAAUUAAUGAUAAUUUAAUCGAGUGUCUGAACAAAACAACUCAAUUAAACAUACAAUAAUUUCCACAAUAAACCCACAAUUGUUCUGAUGUAUAUGCGUGACUAAACAACUAAUAAGAACGACCACGAGUUGGUGGUCUAGUGGUAAAUGACGGAUUACGAGGCUUUUUUAAAACUAAAAACUAGAGGUCUUGGGUUCGAAACCCGUUGUUGGUGUGGAAGCCAGACUUGUGGCCAGGGAAGGCUGAAAUGCCUCUGUGAGUUUUUCCAGCUCCCGAAAAUGGUGGAUAAUUAUGGCUUGCCACCAGUUGUCCUCCUUUUAAGAAAAAAAAAACAACUAAUAAGAAUUAAAUAAUAACCAAUUCAAGUAAUUUGAAACAAAUAAGAUCUGUAAACAAUAAUUAAGAAAUUUGAACCAUUUCAAUUAUAAACAAACGAUAUUAUCUACAUUAAGGGGGAGGAGGUGAGCUUAGCCUAACAAUGGGCUAGCAAUAAUGUAGUUCAAACUCGUAUUUGGCGAGAAUCGAACCUAAGACCGUUGAGUCAAAAUUGUACAUAAUAUGUAAACAAAUAAUUCACUCGACACAAUUUCACCCUCAUUCAUUUUUUUCAAAGAGGGUUUUAUUAAUUUAAGUUCGACUCAUUCUAGACUAUGCGUCUAUUAAUUACAAUCCUUCAUUAAAACGAAAAACCCUUUGAUUCCAAUAUGAAUAAAUCGUAACUUGGAGAUUUUGAGUGUUUGAUUUUUGCUACUGCACCUUGGUUGAGCCCUAGAUUGCCUGCGUACCUUCGUUGAGGGAUCAAGUCACUCGUAGUUCUUUAUGUAUUUGUUGGGGUUUGAUGCCUUGUGCAGUUUCAGCUCGUGCCAUUUGGGAUGUGAUAUGGCUUCGUGCCCUUUAAAACUUAUCGUGGGCUUCAUGCCAUUUGAAUUUAGAGUGGCUUUGUGCCAUUUGAGACUCUAUCUUGGCUUCGUGCCAUUUUGGGAUUUGAUACGGCUUCGUGCCAUUUGGUAUUUGAUAUGGCAUGAUUUUCACCAAUUUGAGGUGGUGAAUCCAUCGAGUUUUGUACUUUGAGAUAGUUCAGAUCCACGGUAUUUAGAGUAAUUUACAUCCGCGAAUUUGGUGUUGUCGAUGUUAUCUCCAUAAUCCUUUAUUUUGGAUUGGUUGGAUUCAACAUGUCUCCAUCACGCUAUUAGGCUCCUGUCAUUUGGUGCUCGUCCUCGGCUCUAAUUCAUAAGGUCUACAUUUACAAAGCCUAUAUGAAUUUAGAUGGGGAGUUGUGGCUUUUCUUUGUUCUCCACGUGGGUAGCAUUCCCACUUAACUUAAAGAGAUUUUGUUUUGCAGAAAGCUUAUUUCUUCUUCUAUUUCAAGACUUCAAAUUUUCUAAGUCCCAAAUAGGGCUUCAAGUGGUGGUGUUUGGAGAGGAAAACCAUAUUUUACCUUUCCAUUUAUUUUGCAUUUGCAUGGAAGACAACUGCCUUUUUUUUAAGUGACCACGUGCAUGGUUUAGAAGAUAAAUUUAUUUCUCUUCUUCUUUAUUGUAGUUUUCCUUUGCAGACUUAGCAAUCUCCAUUUUUUCCUUAUCUUUCGAAUUCCUGGCACAAAAGGCUUUGGGUGGAACUCUUGUAUCCCAUGUUAAUUUUGAACAAGAGAACAUUAGAUUAACUCCUGCUGGUUUUCUUCUACAAGUGAGGUUGAUCUCGAAGCCAUGGUCUUGCUGCGUUUGUCAUUUAGUCAAGUAUAGUUGCUGCACACCUCCGAGCAACGUCUUGCAUAGCUGUUGUUGGUGGCAAAGGCAAUGGUUCUUUUGCUGUUGUUGGCAGAGAAGCAAAUAUCUUUUAGCUAUUUAUUUAGAGAUGUGGCAAAUUUCCUUUCUUUCCUUUUGUCUUGUAGCAUCUGUCAAUUUGAUUUCAAUGCUUUUGGUUAAUAUUUUUGACCCAAUAUUUGAUCAAAAUGAUAUCCACAUUUAAGUCGUUUGAAAGACUUCUUCCUUCUUUUUGGUCAAUUCUUUGAAGCACGGUGCCGCUGACAUGUUUCUUGUUUUAUGCACAAAAUUUAAUCCAUGGGGGCCAUGCUCAUAAUGCUCACAUGAGUGGAAAGUUUUGGAGUAGCUUUUGUUUUCCUCUCUUGCUGUAGCUUUUUCCUUUCUACAUUUUAUAUUUUUUUUUGUCUGGUGUGGAUGCAAAUUUCCGUAUCAUUCUUCUUGAACAAAAUUGCACAUACAAAACAAUUAACACCUUAGGGUCAAGGCCAAGAGCCUCACGCGCUCAUGAUGAAUGGGGGGGCUUUAGCCGAAGAACCUUCGAUGCCAAAGUUAGAAUUUAGAGAGAAAAGUGUUUGGAGAGUUUUUUAGAGUUUUGCAAGAGUGUGGAACCUCCAUUUUUAGAGAAAAUUCAGUCAUAUUUAUAGGGCAUGGCUGGUCCUUUAUGUAUAUUUUGGGUGUUAUUUGGUGAUUUAAUUAGCAAUUAAUAUAUUGAUUAGGAAUUAAUAUAUUUAUUGGCUAAUUAACAUGAUAAAAUGAAUGUUUUGGGGAGGUUAUGUAAUUUGUGUGGAAGGUUUUGAAGGUUAUGGAAUGAUUUCCUUGUAGAAGAUAUAGAGUAAAGAUGGAUGAGAUAAAUUUGAACUUGUUACCUAUUUUUGGGCACUCUUGACUCGGUUGAUGAAUGAUUCUCAACUGCUCGCGUGUAGGAAACCAGGUGUGUCUUGAGGGUAAUUUUGUCCUCUUCACCUAAAAAUCCACGUGUCGCCUCUUGAUUAUUUUUGGCUCCACAAAUGCCCCCACACCUGCUGGGCUGCUCGUAGAAAAGAGCAACAGGUGUAGAGAUCUUUUUGCUCUAGGAAACUUAGAACUGCUUCCUAUUUUGAUGUAGAUUCCCUCUUUAAUAUGAAAUUAGAUCUUUCUAGGAAAGGGAAAUAAAUUUCUCUCAAAGCCUAUUUAAGUCCACCUUAAGUGGGUUGUUAAAUCAACUUUGGACAGCGAUUUAUUCUACCCUACAAGAGAGAGAAAGCUUAGAGGAUAUUUGUUCCCCCUCCUCUAGCAAUCCUCUACAUCUUGCCCGUGCAAAGGACCGUCUUUCGUUGCUUUCUUUGUCUUCUCCAUGUCGCACCAACGUAAUAAAAACUUAAUUUCUUCUUGUCUUCUUCUUGGGUGGUGCUACCACGGGGCAGUCGUCGCGGUGGUGCUGCACGUCGGCUGGCAGGGGCCAAGAAUCUGCUUGGCAAGGGCCAAUGAGGUGAUGUAGCAGGGGGCCAUUGCUUGAGCAGCUCGGCUUGAUUAAAGCCAAUGAUUGGUUUGGCAUAGGCUGAUGAAGUGGUGUGGAAUAGGCAAUUUUUUGGGCUGCCUGCUGAAAAUGAGGAAACUGCUUGAGUUUGAUUUUUCAACUGUCAUAGAUGGAGCAGUCAAGGAUGAAGCUGCCAAGAUCAGAGUUGUUGAAGAUGAAGUGUCGGAUGAGCGAACUGUUAAGUGUAAAAGUAGCUGCUGCCCCCUAACCAUUUGUUGUUUAGUUGAUCUUCAAGCAUUCGAUCUUUUGAACGAUGUGGCCUUCUCGCACUAGAUAGCUUACCCAAAUGGGUGUCAGUGAAUUAGUUUACCCUCUCGCACUGGAGAGCAAUUGGUUUACCCUAUCACACUGGAGAGCAUACCUAUAUGGGUGUUGGGGAAUUAGUUUACCCGCUCGCACUGGAGAGCAAUUAGUUUACCCUCUCGCACUGGAGAGUAUACUCAUAUGGGUGUCAAAGAAUUAAUUUACCCUCUUGCACUGGAGAACAAUUAGUUUAUCCUCUCGCACUAAAGAACAGACCUAUAUGGGUGUUGAUGAAUUAGUUUACCCUCUCGCACUAGAGAGCAAUUAAUUUAUCCUCUCGCACUGGAGAGCAGACCCUUUUGGGUGUCGGGGAAUUGGUUUACCCUCUCGCACUGGAGAGCAAUUAGUUUAUCCUCUCGCACUGGAGAGUAGACCCAUAUGGGUGUCGGGGAAUUGGUUUACUCUCUCGUACUGGAGAGCAUGGAAGUCGUUGUCGUGAGUGCAGCUCAGGAAAACUGAACUGCUGGGACAAUCGAAAUAAUCCUUAGCCUGCGAGGUCAUGUUUGGCGAUCUGUUUGAGACUUCAAACUGUUUGUGGAUCUCGCGUAAGGGUGUAAGCGCAGUGAGCUGCUCCCAGAAUUAUUGUGCCAUCAUUAGGUGUUUCGUCGUGUGCCUUUUUUAGGCUUGGUUGGCACGAGCCAUAUGGCAAGAUUGGCAUAGCUAGGAGCCACGGUGCAAUAUUGGCACAGAUAUGAGCCAUGAUGAUAGAUCAAUGGCUGCUGGAAGCCGUGGAGCAGGCAUGCGUGGUUGUGAAAUCAGAGAUGGGGCUGGCUUGGGCCAGGUUGUGCGCAGCGGGAGGAAUUGUCUGGAGUAUUGAGAACAAGGUCUGCCCCAGGUUCUUGGUAGUCAGGCUGGUGUGUCAUUAUGGUACUCGUCUGCCCCCGGCGUGUCGUAACAGAAAAAGUCUUUAUAUCCGGCAAUCUAUGAGGGGUAGUCCCAUUUGCUCGAUCUUGUCAUUGAAAGAUAACUCGCUUAUGUUGGUCAUGUCUCAUCAAAGUGCUUUGUCAAUAGCUUCGUUGCACGGGAAAUCACACAAUCGCUCGGUCAUGAGUAUUUCUACUUCUUUCUAAAUUUACCUUUGUUAGGGGUGGCAGAGCCCUCGGCUACCCUCGGUCGUGACCUGCUGGUCUAAGCUGCUCUUUCAUGUGUUUGACUCGUCUAUGCCGCGGCUGCGGUCGAUAUGGUAUGUUUCUAGCAAGAGAGCAAGUAACUCGCAGGCUACUGGUUGAACUUGAGCUGGAUUGAGUGAUUGCUUAUCUCCGUCCGCUGUGCUGCCUACUCCGAUGUAAGGUGGAUGAUGCUUCUUGCGGGCCUUGUCACGAAUGAACACUUUGCCUAGAAGGUUGCUCAUGUUGAUUAUCGGAGUGUGGCCCCAACCGUGAGUGUAUGUUCGUCCGUGGGCCUAAUCAAGAGUGCACGCUCCUCUGCACAUUAAGACGGGAGUAUACGUUAUCUCGAAGGCCCAGUCAGGAAUGUACACCGCCAGAACGCUCGGUUCGUAGUUGGUCGAGUGGCUGCUUACCAGGACAUUGCUGGAGAGGUUCUUCGUCUGCCCUUGUCCUACUUCGGGAGACCUUGUCUGGGGCACAUUGCAUCUUGGUGCGCUGCAAGAGCUGGUUCACUAAGGUCGUUUGUUGUGCAAGGGCGCUCGUCAACUCUAUGACUUGUCGAGACAAGUGUUGUUCGCCACUUAGAUUGGAAGAACUUGAAAGGAAUGUGCCUCCUUGGGCAGUGGAAGGGUGGUAGACUCCGGGCAUGAGAUUUGAAUUGGGAAAUGUCAAAUUCACGGAAAAAUGUGGUAAGAAUGCCUCCGACUCGAUGGUAGGUCUGGAUGGUUGAGAUAAUCUUGGGCCGACUUAAGCUGCUUGGAAAGCCACGAGAGCAAAUUGGGCCGCGGGAGUAGGCUGGGCCACAAGAGCAGGCUGGGCCGCGAGAGUGGGCUGCUCAGCGGGAGCAGGUUGCUCGGUGGGAGCAGGCUGAGCCACGGGAGUGGGCUGCUCGGCGGAAGCAGGCUGCUCAGUGCGUGAUGCAUGCGAAUGCGAGGCUUGGGCCUGGGCCCGUGCAAGCUUGGAUGGCAUGGCUUGGGCCAUAGUGGAACCUCGUAGUGGUGGUACCACUCCGCCUAUGACCACAUUUAGCCUCGUGGAUUGCCUCGGUCCCAUUUCUUGAGUAUUAGAAUUUUCACUUGUGGAAUUUUCUAAAUUUCUAGCCAUUAUAUUUUUCUUAUACGUUUUAUCAAAGAACCUUUGUAAAUAAAAAAUUAUAAUAAUAAGAACGUAUGAAAAAUAUUCAAAUGGACUAGAAAAUAGAGAAAAACUUUUUUAUGCGAGAGUCUUCUACGAGUAUGGAUCUCAACUCUUAAUGAAAGCACCAAUUUGUGGAUGCAAAUUUCCGCCUCCUUUUUCUUGAACAAAAUUGCACCUACAAAACAAUUAACACCUUAGGGUCAAGCCCAAGAGCCUCACGCACCCAUGAUGAAUAGGGGGCUUUGGCCGAAGAACCUCCGAUGCCAAAGUUAGAAUUUAGAGAGAAAAGUGUUUGGAGAGUUUUUUGAGAGUUUUGCAAGCGUGUGGAACCUCCCUUUUUAGAGAAAAGUGAGUCAUAUUUAUAGGGCAUGGUUGGUCCUUUAUGUAUAUUUUGGGUGUUAUUUGGUGAUUUAAUUAGCAAUUAAUAUAUUGAUUAGGAAUAAAUAUAUUAAUUGGCUAAUUAACAUAAUAAAAGGUAUGUUUUUGGGAGGUUAUGUAAUUUAUGCGGAAGGUUUUGAAGGUUAUGGAACGAUUUCCUUGUAAAGGAUAUGGAGUAAAGAUGGAUGAGAUAAAUUUGAACUUGUUACCUAUUUUUGGGCACUCUUGACUCGGUUGAUAAAUGAUUCUCCACUGCUCGCGUGUAAGAAACCAGGUGUGUCUCGAGGGUAAUUUUAUCCUUUUCACCUAAAAAUCCACGUGUCGCCUCUUGAUUAUUUUUUGCUCCAUAUCUGGCAUCAAGCUGACUUAUAAGAAAUAAUGGAAUUCUUAUAAAUUAAAAUAUGGCAGCCCAACAACUUGUUUCUUUUUAGAAAAAACUAAGUCUUUGAGAUGGCUUUUCCACCAUGUGUGAACUUGAGAGAGAAAGGCACGAGGACUCUUCUCUGUGCACAAAAAAAAUUGCGACAAUAAUCACUCUGCUAUGGAAAUUGAGGGACUUGCUACUUUCUUUCAACACUUUGUAAGACGACCAAUGAUGCGCAGAGGAGGGAAUUGAAAAUCCCUUUUCUGCAAAUCUUCUUUUUGCUACUACUGACUUGGACAACAACAUGCACCAUUUUUGGUGGACAUUACAUAGCAGAUGAGCCUGAACGCACUCCUUAUUUGUGCGGUCUCCCAUCUACAGACUGUCAGUAGCUGUGAGAAGAGACGAAGCUGAUUUUGAGCCUUCCACUGGAUGAAUAUGGCAUCCAAGAUUUGCACGGAUUUGGUACCUAAAUAUUUUCAUGUAGGUUUGCUGCUUGCUUCAUCUUUGUUUUUUUUUUGUUGGCUAUCUUCAGGGUUUCUUUAACAGGUAGACCACUUUUUGUUCUUCAACACCAAGCCGGUGCAAUUACCGAAAGAGACGUUGACGAUCUGAUUUUUAAGAGCAUUAGUUGCGGGGAGCGGAUCACUUAGACUUAGUUGGAACUUCAGGGGUGGUUUAGACCACCCAUAAGAAAUUCAUGGAGUUGACAGCAGCGGCAGGGAGUGGAUCACUUAGACUUGGUUGGAACUUCACGGGGUGGUUUAGACCACCCCAAAGAAAUUCAUGGGACUAAUGGCAGCGGCGGGGAGCGGAUAGCAUUGAAGAAGCAAAUUGCUUCUUUUUCUUUUUCCUGCAAAGCCGAGAGAAACCAAACAAAUAAAGAUUUAGAAGGAUGGAUUUGUGCCUUUGAAUGCUUUGUUGCUUUCCUUUGCCAUGUAUCCUCUUCUCUGUUUGCCCUUGUCUCCUAGAAUUUCUGCAACACUUUACUUCUUUGAUUGCUCUUCAACUUUCUGAAGAUUUCUGCCAUAUAUUCUUUUCUGUUGUCUCUUAAUUUCUGCAGCGUUUUUUUUGUUUUUCUCUCCUCCGUAUGCUUUUGUCGUGUGCCCUCCCCUUUUUAUAAACGCAAGGAGCAGUUCCAUUAACCUCUUCCAUUUUCUGUUACGUGUUCUACUUUCCCGGGGUGUGGGGAAGUUGAGGAAGGCCAUCACUUUACUGAGUUGAGAUGUGGGAGCUUAGGAGAGUUCUGGAUAGACAAGAACUCUAUUUUUUAGUCUUUGGGCAGAAAUGUAAUUCACACAACUAAAUUUUGUUGUUUUUUUUAAGUCUCACCUACUGUUAAAAUACCUCCAAUAUUAAAAAAAAAAAAAAAACCUCCCACUCCCUCCACGUACUCUCUCUCUCCCCCUCUCUCCUUCUUAUUUUCUAAAAAAAUAUGUUCAUACACACAAAAUGUGUAGGCAAAUGCUAAUAUAUAUAAUGUGAACCUUAUUUUUAGUCGGUCCACGUUUUGGACUACUAUUUUUUCUAAUGUAUCUCCAUCUUUAUAAAACUUGCUAAUAUAUUUUCUUUAUGAAAAUAUAUGGCUCAACAAAAACCUCUUAUUUACAAGUAAAAAUAAACACCAUUAAACCAUAAUAUUAACUGCCGAACCAUUUCAAUUAUAAAAUUUCAACAAUAAAAAGUGCUACAUUAAAAAAUAUAUAUAUAUAUCAAUAGUGAGGACGCUGAAUUAUUUGGACAUCCACGAAGUCAACUAAAAAGCUACGUCUCCUAGUCGAUUUUUCUUCAUUGAUUUCUCUUCUCUCUUUCUAGUCGAUUUUUUUGGAAUAAACAAAUGAACUGCUGCGGAGAGGGCCUCGCGGCUCCGGCGACGUCAGGGGCGGCCGUAUCGCCGCUCGAGUGGAAGUUUUCGCAGGUCUUCGGAGAAAGGACCGCCGGCGAAGAAGUUGAGGAAGGUAAGAGUAAUACUCUUCCCCUGAUUUUCGUUUCGUUUCGUAUUGUUAAGGAUUCACUAUUGCUUUCGUUCUCAUUACGUUUAAUACUAUUAAUUUAAUGUUAAAUACAUGUAGCGGAUGAUUUGUUGCAGAAAUUGUGUAUUGAAUGACGGGAGACGCCAAUGAAAUUUAAUCGAAAAAGUUUGGUCUUUUGAUGACCGAAGCAUUUGAGCUGAAUACUUAAGUUAUUGGCUGGUGGUUUUGUGGCUAUUAUUGAUUAAGCUAUACAUUUGGAGGUUGUCUAUUUGUGUAGCUGUCAGUUUUUAUUUUUCUUUUAAUUUAAUUCACUACAUUUUGAAGUGUUUCAAAAUAAUUAAAAGCACUUUUAGAAAAAAUGUGUUUGGGUUCUAAAAACACUUGAAGGACUUUCUGUAAGAACCACUAGUUAUGUGCAUCGUUCAGAAAACAUUUUAAGUGUUUUUCAAUAAUUUACUUCCAUUUUCACUCAGGGUUGGUUCUAAAAACAUUUUCACCAAAAAAAUUUUCAAUCAUUUUAAAAGCACUUUCAAACGAGCUAUGAUGUUGAUUAGUAUAGGGAUUCAUUUUCGAACAUAUUGUUGCAAUCGAUACAUGUAGAGCUAUAUUUUUAAACUUAAAGGCCCUAGAUUUGAGAAAUAAGUGAACUUGUUAAUCAAGUGUGAAGAACGCGUCAUUUGCGAUCAAUAGCUAUUCUUAUAUACCCGCUUUUGAAUUUCUGAAAAAGAUACUUUAUAGAGUGUUUGAGGGCAUUGAAGUGCUUGGUGCAGAAUUACUUAGGUUUGCUUACUUGCUGGUUGUUUUUGCAGUUGAUGUAAUAUCCGCUAUUGAAUUUGAUAGAACGGGGGACCACCUUGCCGCUGGAGAUCGUGGAGGCCGGGUGGUUUUAUUUGAAAGAACUGAUAUAAAGGAUGUAAGUUAAUACAUUUUUCUUUUGAGGGGUUUGGGGCAUGGAUGUGCAUUUUCCUUGUACUCAAUAUGCCGUUAUAUUUGUUACACUGGUGUGAUUUAGUUGUACUUUGAUGGUAUAAACUUAAAUAAUUAGCAUGGUGGACACCGGAGAGAUCUGGAGAGGAUGGAUUAUUCAAUCAGUGGGCAUCCUGAGUUCCGCUAUAAAACUGAAUUCCAAAGUCAUGAACCCAAGGUAUGACUUUCUUUGUGCUUAACGAGGACAAGUAUAAAUAGGCUUAUGAAGAUUUCCUCUUUGCUGGAAUCUGGAUUUGACUAACUUGCAUCCUAACUUGCAUCUUACUUGGUUUUUCCUGAACUCAGUUAGAUUAUUAUAAGAACUUGGAAAUUGUGGAAACAAUCAACAAGAUCAGAUGGUGUCAAACAGCUAACGGUGCACUGUUUCUCCUCUCCACUAGUAGCAAAACCAUCAAAUACUGGAAGGUAGCACCAACCUUUUGAACUCGUAUGUGGUUAUUUUAUAAAAGAUGAUUUCUCUCGAUAUCACAUCGUCCAGAGUAAUUUUAGCGACAUUAGUUGCAUUGCCCUUUCCAUUUAUAUAUUGUUCGGAACAAAGAUGGCGAUUACUUCAGCCAUUUCAUUUUAUACAUUAUUCUUGGGAUAAACACGCGCAUACGCACAUGCAGAGUGUAGUGGAUGAAUUGUUAUGCCUUCCAGUAGGCAGUACAACAACUUAAGAUAUAAUUAUUUUAAUUUUUUUAUUGUGGAAGGACACUAUCACUUCUGCUAGGUGGCUCACAACCAGGCAAUUGUGCAACAGACACUAUCACUUCCGCAAUACUACAGCCUGUAUGUAGCAGCCUCAUCAAUGAGUUUGUAGAACUCCUACUUUCAUAAACUUCAACAAGGCGGUCAAUUUGACCACAAAGUUUUGCAGCACCUCCAAUUUUUUUCCCUUUCUUAUCAACCUUCUUCUUUUGCAAUUCUCCUUGGUUAGCUGCUCUUUUUUUUCCCUUCCUAGUAGCUUGCCUUAGAUCCUGCAUAGUCUCAUUUUCUUCCUCAUCAUCUAAAUCAAUUUGUCCUAUGGAUUCCUCUCGUCUCUGGUUGUAGUACUCCAGAUGAAGGUGCCCAGGCAUGUUCACCCGUAGCAACUGUGUUCGAGAACAUCCUAUCUAACUUUUCCUCUAUCUCAGGACUAAUGCCCUUUUUUCGCAAUUUUCCAUGUUCUUUGUUUAUCUACAAGUAAAGAAAGAAUAUGGCUAAUACAUAUUGCAUGAUAUCAUAAUACAUAUUAAAAGAUAAAUACACAAACUUGAGUUUUAUUAUUCCACCACUCCUCAGAAGCAUCAACGGUACCCUUGCUCGAAUUCCACCCUAGGCCAGUUUCUUUACCAACUAGCUCUUUCCACAAUUUCCACUCAUUUUAAGUGCAUCCCAUUUAUUUUUCAGUUGCUUUCUUUCAUAAUCAUGUCCUGUCUUUGCCUUGAAGUUAGCUCUAAUAUUUGCAUAUCUAUCUUUGUCAAAGUGAGUGCCCGGACGAUGUCCGGCCUCAACCUCCUUGAUGCAUACAUCACAAAAUAUAGAUAUAUUGUGGGCAUUCCAUGUAGCUGUAGGAUUUGACGAAGAUGCCCCCUUCUUUGCCAUUGAUACCAACUAGUGAUUUGUAUAUAUACAUAUAUAUAUAUAUACAUAUAUUAAAACAAGAACAAAUAAUAUUGAUAACCAAGCAGAAAACAGGUAGUAAACCUAACAUAAGCAGAAGCAACUCGCAAUCAUAUAUGUGUGUGUGUGUGUUGGAGGUUUUCAAUGAUAAUCAUGAUUCAGCCAUUCCCUUUGAUAUACCGAAUAAACAUAUAAUGCAUCUAGCAUAUGCAUGAAAAAGAAUAUAGAUGCAGUGAAUUCGUAGUUGUUGCUCAGUCACAAUUGCCAUUGGAUAACCCAUGUGAAAAAACAAACCCACAUUGCCGGAAACAAGUAAUACUUGUGAGUAACAGCAAGCAGAAACAAAUAAUGACUUUGCUAACGCUGCCUGCUAUAAAAUCAAAGGCAUGCCCCCACAAAACUUAAAGAGUAAUUGUCAGCUGCUACCUGCAACUAUAUAUAUGCAAUCAGCUAAACUAACAAUGGAAUGAAGAGGUGCUCAAAAGGAUCAAACUUUCAGAAACCACAAUUGAACCCCAAAAAGUGGGAAGCUUUAACUCUCCACUCCUAAAAAACACCCACACAAAAGACUGCUCAACAACAUUUCAUAUCGGCACACACAGAGGAAUGAAAAGGAGAAAAUCUCAAAUUUAAAGAUAACCCAUGUGAAAAAACAAACCCACAUUGCAGGAAACAGGUAGUGUGUUUAAGAAACAAACAAACAAACAAACAAAGUACAUAAACAAAAAUUAAACCCUAAGAACUGAAAUUGCUUCAUGGAUCUCAUGAUAAUAAUUAGAACCUUAAUUCAAACCCCAAAACUGAAAUUUAGAGAAUUAAUUCAAACCCCAAAACUGAAAAUUAGAACAUUAAUUCAAACACCAAAACUGAAAUUGCUUCAACGAUGGAAGAGAGAGAGAGAGAGAGAGGGAGAGGGAGAGAGAGAGUUAUGUUUACCUAAUCAAUGAGAUCGAGCUCGUUCGUUGGUUGCCAAAUAAACCCUGUUUCAGAAAACCCCAAAAAAAUCGGUUCAUCAUCCAUGUUAGCUGCUAGAACCAAACCCUGAAUUAAAAUUAAACUACAAAAAUAGAAGCAAACUGGAGAGAGCAGCCAAACCCUAACCUAAAAAUUAAAUUAAUUCGAGUACCUGCUACCUGGAAGGCGACGGCGGUGUGGCGCUGAGACCGACGGAGAGAGAGGAAAAUGAGGAGUUGUGCAGCAGCAGGAGGGAAGAGGGGCGUGCGGAGUGUUUUGAGGAAUCAGGAGAAAGGAGGGGGCAGUAUUGGCAAAUUAGAACAAUUCAUUAACAAAGUACUGUAGCUCCAUGUUUUGUAUAAUAAGCCGCUUCUUGAAGCUGCUUCUUGCAGCUUCCACUUUUUGGCAUUUUUUCAUCUGAAAUUUUGAAAUAAAGCUAUUUUGGGAUGUUUACCAAACACCAAAAAUCUUCCAACUUUUUUUCAUACCAGUUUUUUUUUAAAUCACCUUAACGCUAAACCGGGCUAAAUCUAUGGAAAAUGGCGCAGUUGCUAGUUCUAUGUCAGCAAGCUCAAAACCGUAUCUUGC